This 468-nucleotide ribosomal RNA is filed under the name uncultured bacterium. RNAcentral describes it as "partial 16S ribosomal RNA". It matches the Rfam family "Bacterial small subunit ribosomal RNA", at positions 28 to 507 of the family's 1533-position model. The record is from RNAcentral.
GACGAACGCUGGCGGCGUGCUUAACACAUGCAAGUCGAACGGAAAGGCCCUGCUUUUGUGGGGUGCUCGAGUGGCGAACGGGUGAGUAACACGUGAGUAACCUGCCCUUGACUUUGGGAUAACUUCAGGAAACUGGGGCUAAUACCGGAUAGGAGCUCCUGCUGCAUGGUGGGGGUUGGAAAGUUUCGGCGGUUGGGGAUGGACGCGCGGCUUAUCAGCUUGUUGGUGGGGUAGUGGUUGACCAAGGGUUUGACGGGUAGCCGGCCUGAGAGGGUGAACGGGCACAUUGGGACUGCGAGACGGACCAGAGGCGUACGGGAGGCAGCAGUGGGGAAUAUUGCACAAUGGGAGGAAGCCGGAUGAAGAAGCGCUGCGUGCGUGAUGACGGUCUUCGGGUUGUAAACCGCUUUCGCCUGUGACGAAGCGUGAGUGACGGUAAUGGGUAAAGAAGCACCGGCUAACUACGUG